UGUCCAUUGGUGUAAUGGUAGCACAUCAGAUUCUGGCUCUGCCAGUGGGGGUUCGAGUCCCUCAUGGACAGCAA
Molecule: transfer RNA, 74 nt
Filed under: Bacteroidales bacterium
Lineage: Bacteria; Pseudomonadati; Bacteroidota; Bacteroidia; Bacteroidales
Description: tRNA-Gln
Rfam family: tRNA
About the family: Transfer RNA (tRNA) molecules are approximately 80 nucleotides in length. Their secondary structure includes four short double-helical elements and three loops (D, anti-codon, and T loops).
Source: RNAcentral